Molecule: ribosomal RNA, 3030 nt
Filed under: Erwinia psidii
Lineage: Bacteria; Pseudomonadati; Pseudomonadota; Gammaproteobacteria; Enterobacterales; Erwiniaceae
Description: 23S ribosomal RNA
Rfam family: Bacterial large subunit ribosomal RNA
Source: RNAcentral
GGGUUGUGAGGUUAAGUGACUAAGCGUACACGGUGGAUGCCCUGGCAGUCAGAGGCGAUGAAGGGCGUGCUAAUCUGCGAUAAGCGUCGGCAAGGUGAUAUGAACCGUUACACCCGACGAUACCCGAAUGGGGAAACCCGGUGCACUUGUGCAUCAUUGCAGCAUGAAUACAUAGUGCUGCAAGGCGAACCGGGGGAACUGAAACAUCUAAGUACCCCGAGGAAAAGAAAUCAACCGAGAUUCCCCCAGUAGCGGCGAGCGAACGGGGAGGAGCCCGGAACCAUCAUCAGUUUGUGCCUCAGUGGAAGCGUCUGGAAAGUCGCAGGAUACAGGGUGAUACUCCCGUACAUGAAGGUGCACAUACUGUGAGUUCGAAGAGUAGGGCGGGACACGUGGUAUCCUGUCUGAAUAUGGGGGGACCAUCCUCCAAGGCUAAAUACUCCUGACUGACCGAUAGUGAACCAGUACCGUGAGGGAAAGGCGAAAAGAACCCCGGCGAGGGGAGUGAAACAGAACCUGAAACCGUGUACGUACAAGCAGUGGGAGCACCUUUAUGGUGUGACUGCGUACCUUUUGUAUAAUGGGUCAGCGACUUGUAUUCUGUAGCAAGGUUAACCGUAUAGGGGAGCCGCAGGGAAACCGAGUCUUAAUUGGGCGUUAAGUUGCAGGGUACAGACCCGAAACCCGGUGAUCUAGCCAUGGGCAGGUUGAAGGUUGGGUAACACUAACUGGAGGACCGAACCGACUAAUGUUGAAAAAUUAGCGGAUGACCUGUGGCUGGGGGUGAAAGGCCAAUCAAACCGGGAGAUAGCUGGUUCUCCCCGAAAGCUAUUUAGGUAGCGCCUCGUGAACUCAUCUGCGGGGGUAGAGCACUGUUUCGGCCAGGGGGCCAUCCCGGCUUACCGAUCCGAUGCAAACUCCGAAUACCGCAGAAUGUUAUCACGGGAGACACACGGCGGGUGCUAACGUCCGUCGUGAAGAGGGAAACAACCCAGACCGCCAGCUAAGGUCCCAAAGUCAUGGUUAAGUGGGAAACGAUGUGGGAAGGCCCAGACAGCCAGGAUGUUGGCUUAGAAGCAGCCAUCAUUUAAAGAAAGCGUAAUAGCUCACUGGUCGAGUCGGCCUGCGCGGAAGAUGUAACGGGGCUAAACCAUGCACCGAAGCUGCGGCAGCGGCGCGCAAGCGCUGUUGGGUAGGGGAGCGUUCUGUAAGCCGUCGAAGGUGUGCUGUGAGGCAUGCUGGAGGUAUCAGAAGUGCGAAUGCUGACAUAAGUAACGAUAAAGCGGGUGAAAAGCCCGCUCGCCGGAAGACCAAGGGUUCCUGUCCAACGUUAAUCGGGGCAGGGUGAGUCGACCCCUAAGGCGAGGCCGAAAGGCGUAGUCGAUGGGAAACGGGUUAAUAUUCCCGUACUUGGUGUUGCUGCGAAGGGGGGACGGAGAAGGCUAUGUCAUCCGGGCGACGGUUGUCCCGGUUUAAGCGUGCAGGUGUGUGAACCAGGCAAAUCCGGUUCACUUUACACUGAGGCGUGAUGACGAGGCACUACGGUGCUGAAGUGACAAAUGCCCUGCUUCCAGGAAAAGCCUCUAAGCAUCAGGCAACACGAAAUCGUACCCGAAACCGACACAGGUGGUCAGGUAGAGAAUACCAAGGCGCUUGAGAGAACCCGGGUGAAGGAACUAGGCAAAAUGGUGCCGUAACUUCGGGAGAAGGCACGCUGGCGCGUANNNNNNNNNNNNNNNNNNNNNNNNNNNNNNNNNNNNNNNNNNNNNNNNNNNNNNNNNNNNNNNNNNNNNNNNNNNNNNNNNNNNNNNNNNNNNUGCGUAGGUGGAGGGACCUGCUCCCCGAGCCGAAGCCAGUCGAAGAUACCAGCUGGCUGCAACUGUUUAUUAAAAACACAGCACUGUGCAAACACGAAAGUGGACGUAUACGGUGUGACGCCUGCCCGGUGCCGGAAGGUUAAUUGAUGGGGUUAUCCGUAAGGAGAAGCUCCUGAUCGAAGCCCCGGUAAACGGCGGCCGUAACUAUAACGGUCCUAAGGUAGCGAAAUUCCUUGUCGGGUAAGUUCCGACCUGCACGAAUGGCGUAAUGAUGGCCAGGCUGUCUCCACCCGGGACUCAGUGAAAUUGAACUCGCUGUGAAGAUGCAGUGUACCCGCGGCAAGACGGAAAGACCCCGUGAACCUUUACUACAGCUUGACACUGAACACUGAACGUUGAUGUGCAGGAUAGGUGGGAGGCUUUGAAGCGUGGACGCCAGUCUGCGUGGAGCCAUCCUUGAAAUACCACCCUUUAACGUUUGGUGUUCUAACCUUGCGCCGUGAUCCGGCGCGGGGACAGUGUCUGGUGGGUAGUUUGACUGGGGCGGUCUCCUCCCAAAGCGUAACGGAGGAGCACGAAGGUUGGCUAAUCCUGGUCGGACAUCAGGAGGUUAGUGCAAUGGCAGAAGCCAGCCUGACUGCGAGAGUGACGGCUCGAGCAGGUGCGAAAGCAGGUCAUAGUGAUCCGGUGGUUCUGAAUGGAAGGGCCAUCGCUCAACGGAUAAAAGGUACUCCGGGGAUAACAGGCUGAUACCGCCCAAGAGUUCAUAUCGACGGCGGUGUUUGGCACCUCGAUGUCGGCUCAUCACAUCCUGGGGCUGAAGCAGGUCCCAAGGGUACGGCUGUUCGCCGUUUAAAGUGGUACGCGAGCUGGGUUUAGAACGUCGUGAGACAGUUCGGUCCCUAUCUGCCGUGGGCGCUGGAGAAUUGAGGGGGGUUGCUCCCAGUACGAGAGGACCGGAGUGAACGCACCGCUGGUGUUCGGGUUGUCACGCCAGUGGCAUUGCCCGGUAGCUAAGUGCGGAAAAGAUAAGCGCUGAAAGCAUCUAAGCGCGAAACUUGCCCCGAGAUGAGUUCUCCCUGAGGCUUUAAGCCUUCUGAAGGGACGUUGAAGACGACGACGUUGAUAGGCCGGAUGUGUAAGCGCAGCGAUGCGUUGAGCUGACCGGUACUAAUGACCCGUGAGGCUUAACCUUACAACGCCAGAGGCGUUC